CAGUCGCCACGGGAAUACGAAGGGUGCAAGCGUUACUCGGAAUUACUGGGCGUAAAGCGUGCGUAGGUGGUGGUUUAAGUCCGUUGUGAAAGCCCUGGGCUCAACCUGGGAAUUGCAGUGGAUACUGGAUCACUAGAGUGUGGUAGAGGAUAGUGGAAUUUCCGGUGUAGCAGUGAAAUGCGUAGAGAUCGGAAGGAACAUUUGUGGCGAAGGCGACUAUCUGGGCCAACACUGACACUGAGGCACGAAAGCGUGGGGAGCAAACAGGAUUAGAUACCCGCGUAGUCCCUGUCUCUUAUAC
Molecule: ribosomal RNA, 301 nt
Filed under: uncultured bacterium
Lineage: Bacteria
Description: partial 16S ribosomal RNA
Rfam family: Bacterial small subunit ribosomal RNA
Source: RNAcentral